This 753-nucleotide ribosomal RNA is filed under the name Microbacterium sp. MD08. RNAcentral describes it as "bacterial SSU rRNA". It matches the Rfam family "Bacterial small subunit ribosomal RNA", at positions 70 to 836 of the family's 1533-position model. Lineage: Bacteria; Bacillati; Actinomycetota; Actinomycetes; Micrococcales; Microbacteriaceae. The record is from RNAcentral.
UGAAGCCAAGCUUGCUUGGUGGAUCAGUGGCGAACGGGUGAGUAACACGUGAGCAACCUGCCCUGGACUCUGGGAUAAGCGCUGGAAACGGCGUCUAAUACUGGAUAUGAGACGUGAUCGCAUGGUCGUGUUUGGAAAGAUUUUUCGGUCUGGGAUGGGCUCGCGGCCUAUCAGCUUGUUGGUGAGGUAAUGGCUCACCAAGGCGUCGACGGGUAGCCGGCCUGAGAGGGUGACCGGCCACACUGGGACUGAGACACGGCCCAGACUCCUACGGGAGGCAGCAGUGGGGAAUAUUGCACAAUGGGCGGAAGCCUGAUGCAGCAACGCCGCGUGAGGGAUGACGGCCUUCGGGUUGUAAACCUCUUUUAGCAGGGAAGAAGCGAAAGUGACGGUACCUGCAGAAAAAGCGCCGGCUAACUACGUGCCAGCAGCCGCGGUAAUACGUAGGGCGCAAGCGUUAUCCGGAAUUAUUGGGCGUAAAGAGCUCGUAGGCGGUUUGUCGCGUCUGCUGUGAAAUCCCGAGGCUCAACCUCGGGCCUGCAGUGGGUACGGGCAGACUAGAGUGCGGUAGGGGAGAUUGGAAUUCCUGGUGUAGCGGUGGAAUGCGCAGAUAUCAGGAGGAACACCGAUGGCGAAGGCAGAUCUCUGGGCCGUAACUGACGCUGAGGAGCGAAAGGGUGGGGAGCAAACAGGCUUAGAUACCCUGGUAGUCCACCCCGUAAACGUUGGGAACUAGUUGUGGGGACCAUUCCA